This is a long non-coding RNA of Cervus elaphus (red deer), 139 nucleotides long. RefSeq lists it as uncharacterized. The transcript is spliced from 4 exons. The record is from RefSeq and is a predicted model, not a curated record. NCBI's taxonomy places the organism in Eukaryota, Metazoa, Chordata, Mammalia, Artiodactyla, Cervidae.
CAAAGCACCAUAAAAUUUAAAUAAUCAUUCAGAAGUUGUUUUGUGGAAGCUGCUCAACAUUCAAAUUAUCUUUGGAUGAAUUUGUGGGGGAGAAAGUGGUCUCCCUAUCCUAUUCCUCCUCCAUCUUGGGACAGCCCCC